RNAcentral lists this ribosomal RNA (778 nucleotides) under Staphylococcus epidermidis. Its description in RNAcentral is "partial 23S ribosomal RNA". It matches the Rfam family "Bacterial large subunit ribosomal RNA", at positions 1 to 776 of the family's 2925-position model. Lineage: Bacteria; Bacillati; Bacillota; Bacilli; Caryophanales; Staphylococcaceae. The record is from RNAcentral.
GAUUAAGUUAUUAAGGGCGCACGGUGGAUGCCUUGGCACUAGAAGCCGAUGAAGGACGUUACUAACGACGAUAUGCUUUGGGUAGCUGUAAGUAAGCGUUGAUCCAGAGAUUUCCGAAUGGGGGAACCCAGCAUGAGUUAUGUCAUGUUAUCGACAUGUGAAUUCAUAGCAUGUCAGAAGGCAGACCCGGAGAACUGAAACAUCUUAGUACCCGGAGGAAGAGAAAGAAAAAUCGAUUCCCUGAGUAGCGGCGAGCGAAACGGGAAGAGCCCAAACCAACAAGCUUGCUUGUUGGGGUUGUAGGACACUCUAUACGGAGUUACAAAAGAACAUGUUAGACGAAUCAUCUGGAAAGAUGAAUCAAAGAAGGUAAUAAUCCUGUAGUCGAAAACAUAUUCUCUCUUGAGUGGAUCCUGAGUACGACGGAGCACGUGAAAUUCCGUCGGAAUCUGGGAGGACCAUCUCCUAAGGCUAAAUACUCUCUAGUGACCGAUAGUGAACCAGUACCGUGAGGGAAAGGUGAAAAGUACCCCGGAAGGGGAGUGAAAGAGAACUUGAAACCGUGUGCUUACAAGUAGUCAGAGCCCGUUAAUGGGUGAUGGCGUGCCUUUUGUAGAAUGAACCGGCGAGUUACGAUCUGAUGCAAGGUUAAGCAGCAAAUGUGGAGCCGCAGCGAAAGCGAGUCUGAAUAGGGCGUUGAGUAUUUGGUCGUAGACCCGAAACCAGGUGAUCUACCCUUGGUCAGGUUGAAGUUCAGGUAACACUGAAUGGAGGACCG